CUACUACUCCCUCCGUCCGAAAAUACUUGUCAUUGAAAUGGAUGUAUCUAGAUGUAUUUUAGUUCUAGACACAUCCAUUUUGAUGACAAGUAAUUCCAGACGGAGGGAGUAUUAU
Triticum aestivum (bread wheat) is the source of this 115-nucleotide non-coding RNA. NCBI's taxonomy places the organism in Eukaryota, Viridiplantae, Streptophyta, Magnoliopsida, Poales, Poaceae. The record is from Rfam.